This 207-nucleotide ribosomal RNA is filed under the name uncultured bacterium. Its description in RNAcentral is "partial 16S ribosomal RNA". It matches the Rfam family "Bacterial small subunit ribosomal RNA", at positions 568 to 774 of the family's 1533-position model. The record is from RNAcentral.
CUCGUAGGCGGUUCGUCGCGUCCGGUGUGAAAGUCCAUCGCCUAACGGUGGAUCUGCGCCGGGUACGGGCGGGCUGGAGUGCGGUAGGGGAGACUGGAAUUCCCGGUGUAACGGUGGAAUGUGUAGAUAUCGGGAAGAACACCAAUGGCGAAGGCAGCCCCCUGGGCCUGUACUGACGCUCAUGCACGAAAGCGUGGGGAGCAAACA